This is a non-coding RNA of Arachis ipaensis, 1071 nucleotides long. NCBI's taxonomy places the organism in Eukaryota, Viridiplantae, Streptophyta, Magnoliopsida, Fabales, Fabaceae. The record is from RefSeq and is a predicted model, not a curated record.
UCUUUCUCUUUCUUUUUUUAUUUUUUACAUCCCGCAAAUCCAAUUCUCAUUCCCGCAAAACUGUAAAACCGUUCUCAUCACUUUCCCCAGUUCUAUUCUCCCUCUCUUCUUCUCAGGUCACCAUCUAUCCUUGGUCUCAAUCCCCAUCCUCGUUGACCUAGUCUCAGCUCUUUGUCAGUUUUUCUAGCCUCUACCCUCAACCUCCAGCCUUGACAUCCCCGACUCCAGUCUCGUUGCCUCUUCCUUGCCGGCCCGUCGCGUCCUGUCAUCUCUUCCUUGUUGGUCUUUUGCGUCCUUAUCGCCUCCUCCUCGUCAGUUUCUGUCUCUGAUCAAUAGAUCUUAGUUUCAGAUGGAGAUACUUCAUGUAAUAACAUUUAUUUUGGGUUCUUGAUUUAUGAUUUUGGUUUUUGGCUUUCAAUUCUUGGUUUAUUAUGAUGUUUUUCUAUUUUUGAGUUUAUUCUGAUGGGUUUAUUAUGAGUUUCUAUAAGCCAAACCCUAGCCGCCUAGGGCUUUCACUUUUUGGCUCUUUGCCCUUCGAAGAUCAACUCUGUCUAUUCAAGCACAUUGAUGUGUCGAUUCAAGACGUAAUUGUGUUCUGCUCUGUUCCAUUCUGCUUCUGCUAAUUACUUGCUGGAAGCUUUGGAGGCUCACAAUUGGGCCAGCAAAGGGAAAUACACUAUUGGACUUGGACAAGAUUGCUUGGAAUUCUGUCCUGAGGUUGAAGAUGUUAUCUCUAUGAGCUUGACAACUGUAUCCUCGCUUCUUCAAAAGUAUAAGAUUGAUACGAAACAAAUUGGAUGCAUGGAAGUUGGUAGUGAAACUGUCAGUGAUAAAAGCAAAUCCAUUAUGAACCUUCCUUAUGCAACUCUUUGAGGAACUACUAGUAACAACCAAAUUGGCAAUGCUAUACUAUAUUUGAUUAAAUUGGUUUCAUUUUUUCAUCAAUCCUUUGAUCUCAAUGUAAACUUUAUGACUAAUUUUGUGAGAAUGGCAUAGCAGAAGAUUGUUUUAAAAUAGAUGUAUUUAAUUAGCUUGUUUGGUAUUAUGAAUGUUCGAAUCUGUUCUGGCUUC